Molecule: ribosomal RNA, 429 nt
Filed under: Bacteroidota bacterium
Lineage: Bacteria; Pseudomonadati; Bacteroidota
Also listed under: 3 other names
Description: Bacteroidetes bacterium partial 16S ribosomal RNA
Rfam family: Bacterial small subunit ribosomal RNA
Source: RNAcentral
UAGGGAAUCUUCCGCAAUGGACGCAAGUCUGACGGAGCAACGCCGCGUGAGUGAAGAAGGAUUUCGGUUCGUAAAACUCUGUUGUUAGAGAAGAACAGCGCAUAGAGUAACUGUUAUGCGUGUGACGGUAUCUAACCAGAAAGCCACGGCUAACUACGUGCCAGCAGCCGCGGUAAUACGUAGGUGGCAAGCGUUGUCCGGAUUUAUUGGGCGUAAAGCGAGCGCAGGCGGUCAAUUAAGUCUGAUGUGAAAGCCCCCGGCUCAACCGGGGAGGGUCAUUGGAAACUGGUUGACUUGAGUGCAGAAGAGGAGAGUGGAAUUCCAUGUGUAGCGGUGAAAUGCGUAGAUAUAUGGAGGAACACCAGUGGCGAAGGCGACUCUCUGGUCUGUAACUGACGCUGAGGCUCGAAAGCGUGGGUAGCAAACAGG